RNAcentral lists this unclassified non-coding RNA (418 nucleotides) under Hevea brasiliensis (rubber tree). The record is from RNAcentral. Lineage: Eukaryota; Viridiplantae; Streptophyta; Magnoliopsida; Malpighiales; Euphorbiaceae.
GCGCUCGGCGACAUGAAGGGCAUCACCCGCUAUGCCAGCGUCCACAUGCCGAUGGACGAGACGCUGUCGCGGGUCGUGAUCGACAUUUCGGGACGGCCGGUGNNNNNNNUCCGCGCGACAAGAUCGGCGAGUUCGAUACCGAGCUGGUGCGCGAAUGGUUCAACGCUUUUGCAAUCAAUGCCGGCGUGACGCUGCAUGUCGAGACGCUGUAUGGCGAGAACAAUCACCAUAUCGCCGAGUCGUGCUUUAAGGGCCUGGCGCGCGCGCUACGGGCGGCGGUCGCAAUCGACCCGCGCGCCGCGGGCGAAAUUCCCUCGACCAAGGGCACGCUCGGCGGCUGAUUUGACCUGAAGCGCAUGCCGGUCAUGCGCUGGACUUCACUUUUGGACCUGCGAGUGACGCACGAUCUUUGCCGGAU